AGUUUUAUAUUUUAAAAAAAAAUUAAAUUGCAAAUUUAAAAAUAUAUUAUUCAAAUUAAUAUUAAAACUU
This 70-nucleotide transfer RNA is filed under the name Arctopsyche sp. XG-2022. RNAcentral's name for it is "tRNA-Cys". Lineage: Eukaryota; Metazoa; Arthropoda; Insecta; Trichoptera; Hydropsychidae. The record is from RNAcentral.